CUUUGUGUGUAAUUUAUAUUGAUCUCUAAUUUCCAGGCCUUGUGUCUCAUGCUUUGAUCAUCCUUCUCUCUGAUGGUCUAAUCUUUCUCUUGUUGUGGGACAGCACCUGAGAGUGUUGGUCACUGGAAAAGAGGUCCACAGGUCAUGUCCAGAUGGUGCCUUGGGAAUGGUGGCAUUUACCGGUCUUUAUUUACCUUUGUUGACCAAGACCCAGAACCUUGUGCUUUGCCUUGGGCCAGGGUAAUGUAAAAAGCAUCAUUGCAUCAAGGACAUGAGGAUCUCAAGGCCAUGUGAUGCUGUCCAUCUCCUCCCUAAUCUGACCAUAUGAGAUGCCUCAUAUUUGUUCCACUGGGGGGAUCUUGCACUUCUUGAUGCUUCAAGCUGAUUCUUUUAUCUCCUAAUCAGUGGGUCUACACAAAAUUCUGCAAUAUUCAGGUAUUUUGAUUCUUUUGAGCUCAUGCCAGUCCCAUGAUCAUACUGACACAAGUGAGUACCCAUCUUCUAGUCUUCCAAGGAGUCAAAGUUACAAUCACCAAGCAUGUACUGGAAAACCCAAAAAGAAAAAACUACAGAAGAAGAAUAAAAUACAAUGGUAAUGCCCAAGUGCCCAAGUACCAGUUAAAAUGUAUAUAAUUGGUAGCGUGGUAUCAGCCUAUUAGCAUUUUGUAGCUACUGACAUAUCACACUGAUUCAGUCCCGGUGAACUUUUCAGCCAUCUUUGACAGGCAUUAAUAUUGCCACCUAUAUCCCCAUGUGCUUCGUCCUCCCACAGUUGCACAAAAUGAAUGACACAGGAAAACAAUGUAGGCAGAUAAAGUUUACCCUCCAUCGAACAAAGCAUACAGUCCUGCAAUGUAUCGAGGUACUCAACUAUUUGUGCAGAUCACUGCAACCAAAUUAAAGCCAAAAAAAGAGAAGCUAAGAUUUGUUCGUUUGACAGUGUUGAAGAAAUUGACACUGAUGGGAAUGCUCGUCUUUAUCCUGGGACAUACAGUAGCAAAUUAAUGGAACUGUUACGGAUACUAAGCUGCAAGUCUCACACCCAACACUGAUGUUUUCUUGAAGAUCAAUGAGGCAGAUCAGCUUAUAGGAUUUGGGUGUUCAUCAGACAACAACUGAAACUUUUGAGUUGAUCGGGAGUUGGAAGGUAGGAGACACGAGUGCGAGGAAGAUUGCGAGUCUCCCUGAGCUAGAAAAGAUCCUUGAUGUGCUGCGAUGAGAGUGAGCUUCAUCCGAUCAAGGGUCUAGAAAUUUCAACGCCAUACACACACUUCUGUUGAUACCGAGAUUAUGGACAGGAAACGCAAGGUGGAAGAUAAGUAGAAGAUACAGACAAGACGUAUGAACUGUUUUCCCUGCAAAGUUUCGGUGGCUAUUGCUUCUGCUGAUCGAAAUCCUUGUACUAGCAGUGACUGAUAUCUGUUAAGCUGAGACAUCCUCUGCUUCUG
Molecule: non-coding RNA, 1448 nt
Organism: Musa acuminata subsp. malaccensis (wild Malaysian banana)
Lineage: Eukaryota; Viridiplantae; Streptophyta; Magnoliopsida; Zingiberales; Musaceae
Source: RefSeq, a predicted model, not a curated record